CCUACGGGAGGCAGCAGUGGGGAAUUUUGGACAAUGGGCGCAAGCCUGAUCCAGCAAUGCCGCGUGAGUGAAGAAGGCCUUCGGGUUGUAAAGCUCUUUUGUCAGGGAAGAAACGGUGGGGGCUAAUAUCUCCUACUAAUGACGGUACCUGAAGAAUAAGCACCGGCUAACUACGUGCCAGCAGCCGCGGUAAUACGUAGGGUGCAAGCGUUAAUCGGAAUUACUGGGCGUAAAGCGUGCGCAGGCGGUUUUGUAAGUCUGUCGUGAAAGCCCCGGGCUCAACCUGGGAAUUGCGAUGGAGACUGCAAGGCUUGAAUCUGGCAGAGGGGGGUAGAAUUCCACGUGUAGCAGUGAAAUGCGUAGAGAUGUGGAGGAACACCGAUGGCGAAGGCAGCCCCCUGGGUCAAGAUUGACGCUCAUGCACGAAAGCGUGGGGAGCAAACAGGAUUAGAUACCCUGGUAGUCCACGCCCUAAACGAUGUCUACUAGUUGUCGGGUUUUAAUUAACUUGGUAACGCAGCUAACGCGUGAAGUAGACCGCCUGGGGAGUACGGUCGCAAGNUUAAAACGUCAAAGGAAUUGACGG
Molecule: ribosomal RNA, 586 nt
Filed under: uncultured bacterium
Lineage: Bacteria
Description: bacterial SSU rRNA
Rfam family: Bacterial small subunit ribosomal RNA
Source: RNAcentral